This is a Y RNA of Pongo abelii (Sumatran orangutan), 96 nucleotides long. It matches the Rfam family "Y RNA". From Rfam's summary of the family: Y RNAs are components of the Ro ribonucleoprotein particle (Ro RNP), in association with Ro60 and La proteins. The Y RNAs and Ro60 and La proteins are well conserved, but the function of the Ro RNP is not known. The record is from Ensembl. Lineage: Eukaryota; Metazoa; Chordata; Mammalia; Primates; Hominidae.
GGCUGGUCCGAUGGUAGUGGAUUAUCAGAACUUAUUAACAUUAGUGUCACUAAAGUUGGUAUACAACCCCCCACUGCUAAAUUUGACUGGCUUUUU